This 397-nucleotide ribosomal RNA is filed under the name uncultured bacterium. RNAcentral's name for it is "bacterial SSU rRNA". It matches the Rfam family "Bacterial small subunit ribosomal RNA", at positions 361 to 775 of the family's 1533-position model. The record is from RNAcentral.
AUCUUAGACAAUGGGGGAAACCCUGAUCUAGCCAUGCCGCGUGAGUGAUGAAGGCCUUAGGGUUGUAAAGCUCUUUCAGCUGGGAAGAUAAUGACGGUACCAGCAGAAGAAGCCCCGGCUAACUCCGUGCCAGCAGCCGCGGUAAUACGGAGGGGGCUAGCGUUGUUCGGAAUUACUGGGCGUAAAGCGCACGUAGGCGGACUGGAAAGUUGGAGGUGAAAUCCUGGGGCUCAACCCCAGAACUGCCUUCAAAACUAUCAGUCUGGAGUUCGAGAGAGGUGAGUGGAAUUCCGAGUGUAGAGGUGAAAUUCGUAGAUAUUCGGAGGAACACCAGUGGCGAAGGCGGCUCACCGGCUCGAUACUGACGCUGAGGUGCGAAAGCGUGGGGAGCAAACAG